CGAAAGCUUGCUUUUGAUGGGCGUCGACCGGCGCACGGGUGAGUAACGCGUAUCCAACCUGCCCACCACUUGGGGAUAACCUUGCGAAAGUAAGACUAAUACCCAAUGAUAUCUCUAGAAGACAUCUGAAAGAGAUUAAAGAUUUAUCGGUGAUGGAUGGGGAUGCGUCUGAUUAGCUUGUUGGCGGGGUAACGGCCCACCAAGGCGACGAUCAGUAGGGGUUCUGAGAGGAAGGUCCCCCACAUUGGAACUGAGACACGGUCCAAACUCCUACGGGAGGCAGCAGUGAGGAAUAUUGGUCAAUGGACGAGAGUCUGAACCAGCCAAGUAGCGUGCAGGAUGACGGCCCUAUGGGUUGUAAACUGCUUUUAUAAGGGAAUAAAGUGAGUCUCGUGAGACUUUUUGCAUGUACCUUAUGAAUAAGGACCGGCUAAUUCCGUGCCAGCAGCCGCGGUAAUACGGAAGGUCCGGGCGUUAUCCGGAUUUAUUGGGUUUAAAGGGAGCGUAGGCCGGAGAUUAAGCGUGUUGUGAAAUGUAGAUGCUCAACAUCUGCACUGCAGCGCGAACUGGUUUCCUUGAGUACGCACAAAGUGGGCGGAAUUCGUGGUGUAGCGGUGAAAUGCUUAGAUAUCACGAAGAACUCCGAUUGCGAAGGCAGCUCACUGGAGCGCAACUGACGCUGAAGCUCGAAAGUGCGGGUAUCGAACAGGAUUAGAUACCCUGGUAGUCCGCACGGUAAACGACGGAUGCCCGCUGUUGGUCUGAAUAGGUCAGCGGCCAAGCGAAAGCAUUAAGCAUCCCACCUGGGGAGUACGCCGGCA
RNAcentral lists this ribosomal RNA (821 nucleotides) under uncultured bacterium. RNAcentral describes it as "bacterial SSU rRNA". It matches the Rfam family "Bacterial small subunit ribosomal RNA", at positions 68 to 890 of the family's 1533-position model. The record is from RNAcentral.